AAACAAAUAGGUUUCGGGGCGAGCGUUGGGUUCCGCCGCGCCGCGCUGGGCGCUCGUCCGCCUCAGCGGUGGAGAGCGAGCGAGGCCUCCCGCCGCCGCUGCUGUGUCGGGGUGGUGCAGCCCGGGGCUGGGGCUGGGGCCGGGGCGAGGCAGGAGCGCAGGCCAAUCGUAAGAGAAGGCUGAAGGUAAAGGUUGGAAGAUAACCCCUUCUACCCAUCAAUACUUCGUAGUGACCUUACAGGAAGAAAAGUGAGUAAUGUGUUUUUCAAGAGUUGCUAUCUUAAUUAAAAAGUAGAUUAGGGCAUAAAAUUAAAAUUUUAUUAUUUUUUUUUAUUAUUUUUGUACUCUAACAUACUUUUCAUUAACAUGAAGAUAAGUGUUUUCAACUAAUCUGUAAAGAUACUCAAUAACCUAAUGGGGAAAAAGAAAGAAGUCAACAAAUAUAUUCUGUUUGGUUCCUUUUAUAUAAUAUUUCUUGUGCUUCUUUUAACUUUCUAACCCUUUUCCUCUCAUUGCUGAAUGGGUUCAGAUAAGUUAUAUGAAAUGUACUCUGAAAAAUUGUAAUUUUUAAAUAGAAUACUAAGGUUUUAAAAUGUUUUUAACUUCAAAAAGUGACCUUGAGAUCUAAGGAAAAAUUGUAGUAAUUUUCUGCGCCUCCAGGUGGUAUUAUAAGCUGAUACUUAUUUUUGAAAUAGGAAAUAGCAUAAUGAAAAU
RNAcentral lists this long non-coding RNA (714 nucleotides) under Dasypus novemcinctus (nine-banded armadillo). Its description in RNAcentral is "lncRNA (ENSDNOG00000052919.1)". The record is from RNAcentral. Lineage: Eukaryota; Metazoa; Chordata; Mammalia; Cingulata; Dasypodidae.